RNAcentral lists this long non-coding RNA (376 nucleotides) under Rattus norvegicus (Norway rat). Its description in RNAcentral is "long non-coding RNA NONRATT023136". The record is from RNAcentral. Lineage: Eukaryota; Metazoa; Chordata; Mammalia; Rodentia; Muridae.
AGUGGCGCUCGGGCGAGCUGCGCGGCGCGCUGGGUGCAUGUGGGGGCCGCAUCAGAGCCGUGGCCGCUGCAUCUGGAGUCACGCGUGCUGGCUAGAGAGCCCCUCGCGUGAAUCUGCAACAUCGCUGCUCGGGUUGGAGGAGUUCACUCUUUUUCUCCCGCUCCAGAAGCUGCUGCCGGCGUGAAGGAAGCCAGCAGGGCCCUAGGAAGAAGGUUAAAACCCCACGGAAGGAACAUGAAGUUCCCUUGGAGAUCAUUCAAGAGGACGAUGGAGGGAGGCAUUUAGAGUAAACCGAGUUAAAAACCACAGGCUGCCACCCUGGGGCCUGAGGGCUGGCAGUGGAAACGCCUGCUGGGCUGUGACCUCUCACUGAAAA